GUCCUACGGGACGCAGCAGUGAGGAAUAUUGGUCAAUGGGCGAGAGCCUGAACCAGCCAAGUCGCGUGAGGGAAGACGGCCCUACGGGUCGUAAACCUCUUUUGCCGGGGAGCAAGGGCCGGGACGCGUCCCGGCCCGGAGAGUACCCGGAGAAAAAGCAUCGGCUAACUCCGUGCCAGCAGCCGCGGUAAUACGGAGGAUGCGAGCGUUAUCCGGAUUUAUUGGGUUUAAAGGGUGCGUAGGCGGGCCUUUAAGUCAGCGGUAAAAAUUCGGGGCUCAACCCCGUCCGGCCGUUUAAACUGGGG
Molecule: ribosomal RNA, 305 nt
Filed under: uncultured bacterium
Lineage: Bacteria
Description: bacterial SSU rRNA
Rfam family: Bacterial small subunit ribosomal RNA
Source: RNAcentral